RNAcentral lists this ribosomal RNA (962 nucleotides) under Lactiplantibacillus plantarum. RNAcentral's name for it is "bacterial SSU rRNA". It matches the Rfam family "Bacterial small subunit ribosomal RNA", at positions 378 to 1334 of the family's 1533-position model. The record is from RNAcentral. Lineage: Bacteria; Bacillati; Bacillota; Bacilli; Lactobacillales; Lactobacillaceae.
CGAGUCUGAUGGAGCACGCCGCGUGAGUGAAGAAGGGUUUCGGCUCGUAAAACUCUGUUGUUAAAGAAGAACAUAUCUGAGAGUAACUGUUCAGGUAUUGACGGUAUUUAACCAGAAAGCCACGGCUAACUACGUGCCAGCAGCCGCGGUAAUACGUAGGUGGCAAGCGUUGUCCGGAUUUAUUGGGCGUAAAGCGAGCGCAGGCGGUUUUUUAAGUCUGAUGUGAAAGCCUUCGGCUCAACCGAAGAAGUGCAUCGGAAACUGGGAAACUUGAGUGCAGAAGAGGACAGUGGAACUCCAUGUGUAGCGGUGAAAUGCGUAGAUAUAUGGAAGAACACCAGUGGCGAAGGCGGCUGUCUGGUCUGUAACUGACGCUGAGGCUCGAAAGUAUGGGUAGCAAACAGGAUUAGAUACCCUGGUAGUCCAUACCGUAAACGAUGAAUGCUAAGUGUUGGAGGGUUUCCGCCCUUCAGUGCUGCAGCUAACGCAUUAAGCAUUCCGCCUGGGGAGUACGGCCGCAAGGCUGAAACUCAAAGGAAUUGACGGGGGCCCGCACAAGCGGUGGAGCAUGUGGUUUAAUUCGAAGCUACGCGAAGAACCUUACCAGGUCUUGACAUACUAUGCAAAUCUAAGAGAUUAGACGUUCCCUUCGGGGACAUGGAUACAGGUGGUGCAUGGUUGUCGUCAGCUCGUGUCGUGAGAUGUUGGGUUAAGUCCCGCAACGAGCGCAACCCUUAUUAUCAGUUGCCAGCAUUAAGUUGGGCACUCUGGUGAGACUGCCGGUGACAAACCGGAGGAAGGUGGGGAUGACGUCAAAUCAUCAUGCCCCUUAUGACCUGGGCUACACACGUGCUACAAUGGAUGGUACAACGAGUUGCGAACUCGCGAGAGUAAGCUAAUCUCUUAAAGCCAUUCUCAGUUCGGAUUGUAGGCUGCAACUCGCCUACAUGAAGUCGGAAUCG